UACGGCUCAGUAACACGUCGAUAAUCUGCCUUAUGGUCUGGGAUACCCUUGGGAAACUGAGGUUAAACCCGGAUAAAGGAUUGAUACUGGAACGUACUUUCCUUGAAAAGCAAUGCCAUAAGAUGAGUCGGCGGCUGAUUAGGUUGUUGGUGAGGUAAAGAAGCUUUCUUAGGAAGAAACCUUGGAAAGAAAUUAUAAGCUCACCAAGCCUGUGAUCAGUAAGGGGGAUGAGAGUCCUAGCCCUGAGAAGGACACUGAGAUAAGGGUCCUAGCCCUAAGGGGUGCAGCAGCCGCGAAACCUUUACAAUGCACGAAAGUGUGAUAAGGGAAUCCAAAGUGCUUACCUUCUGGGUAGGCUUUUGUUAAGUAUAAAUAACUUAACGAAUAAGUGGUGGGCAAUACCGGUGCCAGCAGCCGCGGUAACACCGGAGCCACGAGUGGCAAUCAUUUUUAUUGGGCUUAAAGGGUCCGUAGCCGACUUGGUAACUUUCUUGUGAAAUCGCCUGACUUAAUCAAGCGGAGUGCAAGAUAAACUGCCAAGUUAGAGACCGGGAAGAGGUAGAGGUAUUCCUUGGGUAACGGUAAAAUGUUUUAAUCCUUGGAGGACCACCAAUGGCGAAGGCAUCUAUCCAGAACGGGUCUGACGGUGAGGGACGAAAGCUGGGAGAACGAUCGGGAUUAGAUAUGGACUAAAGGAACUUUCCUUUAUCAACUAAAUACCCCAGUAGCCCCAGCUGUAAACUCUGCGAACUAUGUGUUGCAUGUUCUACGGGAACAUGCAGUGCCGUAGCGAAAGUGUUAAGUUCGCCGCCUGGGGAGUACGGCCGCAAGACUGAAUAGGUAAUAGAGCAGUUUUUUGGAGUGAUUUGUUUAAUUUAAACUCCAAACUGAAACUCUAUUACCGCAGUAGACUUAAAGGAAUUGGCGGA
RNAcentral lists this ribosomal RNA (929 nucleotides) under uncultured archaeon. RNAcentral's name for it is "bacterial SSU rRNA". It matches the Rfam family "Archaeal small subunit ribosomal RNA", at positions 84 to 872 of the family's 1478-position model. The record is from RNAcentral.